Molecule: transfer RNA, 85 nt
Filed under: Felis catus (domestic cat)
Lineage: Eukaryota; Metazoa; Chordata; Mammalia; Carnivora; Felidae
Rfam family: tRNA
About the family: Transfer RNA (tRNA) molecules are approximately 80 nucleotides in length. Their secondary structure includes four short double-helical elements and three loops (D, anti-codon, and T loops).
Source: Rfam by way of RNAcentral
GCCUGGGUGGCUCAGUCGGUUGAGCAUCCGACUUCGGCUCAGAUCAUGAUCUCACAGUCUGUGAGUUCGAGCCCCACAUCGGGCU